AGCAUAUGUUCCUGAUCGACGUGACAGAUCUGAUGCAUCAGUUCAAGGGUUCAACUUAAUGACAAAGAAACGGAAAGCUAAGGAGGAAUUGACCAACCUUGAUAGAAGAGAUGAAGAUGGCAAUGUGCAGUCUAGCCUUAAGCAGCAAAUUGAUGACUCCAUUUCAUUGAAGAAAAAGGGAAAAAGAAAAGUGGAGUCUGACACUGGCACUUCAGACAUGGAAACUCCUGAGCCACCUCUUACAGAAAUGGGAGCAGCAGACAUGGGCAUAGAUUCCAAACCACAAAAAAAGCCAUAUACACCAAUUACACCUACUGUUCAUACUGGCUUCUCAUUUUCCAUUAUACAUCUUCUUUCAGCAGUUCGCCUGGCGAUGAUCAGUCCUCUCCCAGAAGAUUCCUUGGAAGUCAUCAAACCUAGUGAUGGGCAUAAUGGAAAGCAUGAAGGUGGCACAAAUGGUGUUGUUUCUUGUGAGAGUGCAGAUGUAAAUAAAUCUGACCAUGCUCUGCAGGUGAAUGUGCCUUCUCUUACCGUACAAGAAAUUGUUAACCGUGUCAGAUCAAACCCUGGGGAUCCUUGUAUUCUUGAGACACAAGAGCCUCUUCAGGAUCUGGUCAGAGGAGUUCUCAAGAUACUUUCAUCAAAAACAGCUCCUUUGGGAGCAAAGGGUUGGAAGGCACUAGGGGUUUAUGAAAAAUCUGCAAAGAGUUGGUCUUGGAUUGGUCCAGUUUCCCAUACUUCAACGGAUCAUGAGACUAUUGAGGAGGUAACAUCUCCUGAAUAUUGGGGCCUUCCUCAUAAAAUGCUUGUCAAGUUGGUUGAUUCAUUUGCUAAUUGGCUGAAAAGUGGUCAAGAGACUCUUCAGCAAAUUGGAAGCCUUCCAGCACCACCCGUGUCAUUGAUGCAAUGUAACCUGGAUGAGAAAGAAAGGUUCAGGGACCUGAGAGCUCAGAAGAGUCUCAACACUAUUAGCCCAAGUUCUGAAGAAGUGAGGGCUUAUUUCCGUAAGGAAGAAUUUUUAAGGUAUUCCAUUCCUGACAGAGCCUUCUCAUACACAGCAGCUGAUAGUAAAAAAUCCAUUGUUGCUCCUUUGAGACGGUGUGGUGGUAAGCCAACUUCAAAAGCCCGAGACCAUUUCAUGCUGAAGCGUGAUCGGCCUCCCCAUGUUACAAUUCUUUGUCUUGUAAGAGAUGCAGCUGCCAGAUUGCCUGGAAGUAUGGGCACUAGAGCAGAUGUUUGUACCUUGAUAAGGGACUCUCAGUAUAUUGUUGAAGACGUGUCUGAUGCGCAAGUGAAUCAGGUAGUCAGUGGAGCCUUGGACCGUUUACAUUAUGAACGUGAUCCUUGUGUACAAUUUGAUGGGGAGAGGAAAUUGUGGGUUUACUUACACAGAGAGAGAGAAGAAGAAGAUUUUGAAGAUGAUGGUACUUCAUCUACAAAGAAAUGGAAGAGACAGAAAAAGGAUCCAGCUGACCAACCCGACCAAGGAGCUGUAACUGUGGCUUUUCAUGGGAAUGUGGAUCAGUCUGGAUUUGAUUUGGGCUCUGACCUCAAUGUUGCACCAUCAGGCCCUGAUGAUGAUAAAAGAGCAAAACUUGUGCAUAAUGAUGCGAAACAAAGCAUGGAGGACAAUGCUGAGACUAGUCAUGUGUCAGAACAA
RNAcentral lists this unclassified non-coding RNA (1660 nucleotides) under Hevea brasiliensis (rubber tree). The record is from RNAcentral. Lineage: Eukaryota; Viridiplantae; Streptophyta; Magnoliopsida; Malpighiales; Euphorbiaceae.